Molecule: ribosomal RNA, 253 nt
Filed under: uncultured bacterium
Lineage: Bacteria
Description: partial 16S ribosomal RNA
Rfam family: Bacterial small subunit ribosomal RNA
Source: RNAcentral
UACGGAGGGUGCAAGCGUUAUCCGGAUUCACUGGGUUUAAAGGGUGCGUAGGUGGGCAGGUAAGUCAGUGGUGAAAUCUCUGGGCUUAACCCGGAAACUGCCGUUGAUACUAUCUGUCUUGAAUGUAGUGGAGGUGAGCGGAAUAUGUCAUGUAGCGGUGAAAUGCUCAGAUAUGACAUAGAACACCCAUUGCGAAGGCAGCUCGCUACACUAUUAUUGACACUGAGGCACGAAAGCGUGGGGAUCAAACAGG